Molecule: long non-coding RNA, 450 nt
Filed under: Sinocyclocheilus anshuiensis
Lineage: Eukaryota; Metazoa; Chordata; Actinopteri; Cypriniformes; Cyprinidae
Description: lncRNA (ENSSANG00000014434.1)
Source: RNAcentral
GUCUGACCCGCGUGCUGCCGAGGUCGUUUCUCGCUGUCACGCUGUUUUCCUCUGGGGUUUCACAUGACAAACUGCAGAAAGUUGUUUUGUCAUGCUGUACCUUUAUACACUGAGUGUCAUGUUCCACACAUUCAGAAGUCUUUAGUGUGACAGACGUGACUUGGCCACCUUAGAGUUUGCGCUCCGGAGGGAUCUGCACGUGUUUGGACGAUUAAGGUCCUGAUCACUGAAUGUUCACCAUUAUCUCCUGGAAGACCUUGCAUCUCCUCAAAAAUCAUCUGUAAUUGUUGUACAUCCAUCAGGCAUCUGGGACGGCCUGCUAACACCCGGCACCACGCGGGGCCACGACUGGCCAUGAUGCUUCCUUAGGAGUCCCAUUAUUUAUUGCCAAACCCAAUUAGAUUCUCAGUAUUAAAGUGACAGCUUUGCUGUGGGGUCACGCUGAAGACA